UGGGAACGUACCCUUCGGUUCGGAACAACCCAGGGAAACUUGGGCUAAUACCGAAUACGUCCGUAAGGAGAAAGAUUUAUCGCCGAAGGAUCGGCCCGCGUCUGAUUAGCUAGUUGGUGGGGUAAUGGCCCACCAAGGCGACGAUCAGUAGCUGGUCUGAGAGGAUGAUCAGCCACACUGGGACUGAGACACGGCCCAGACUCCUACGGGAGGCAG
This 216-nucleotide ribosomal RNA is filed under the name uncultured bacterium. RNAcentral describes it as "partial 16S ribosomal RNA". It matches the Rfam family "Bacterial small subunit ribosomal RNA", at positions 118 to 351 of the family's 1533-position model. The record is from RNAcentral.